RNAcentral lists this microRNA (22 nucleotides) under Oreochromis niloticus (Nile tilapia). RNAcentral's name for it is "oni-miR-10547a". Lineage: Eukaryota; Metazoa; Chordata; Actinopteri; Cichliformes; Cichlidae. The record is from miRBase by way of RNAcentral.
UUGACUUUCUGUCCCGACGGCG